This 25512-nucleotide long non-coding RNA is filed under the name Solanum tuberosum (potato). RNAcentral's name for it is "long non-coding RNA (STUB_LNC010540)". Lineage: Eukaryota; Viridiplantae; Streptophyta; Magnoliopsida; Solanales; Solanaceae. The record is from RNAcentral.
CGGACUGGAUGAUGAGGCUUUGAUGCUUGUAUAUGAGAUGCAAAAGCUUGGGGUUGCAAUUGAUGAUAUAACAAUUACCAUCCUGCUUUCUGCGGCAUCAAAUCUUAGGGACAGGGAAAUUGGUAAACAGACCCAUGCUUACCUUCUGAGGCACAAUAUUCAAUUUGAAGGGAUGGAGAGUUACCUGAUAGACAUGUAUGCCAAAUCUAAUAUGAUUAGAGAAGCACAAGUAAUAUUCCAGUCGAACUUCACAAAUGAUAAAGAUCAAGCCACGUGGAAUGCUAUGAUUGCUGGAAACACUCAAAAUGGAUUAAUUGAACAAUCCUUUGUUGUCUUCAGGGAGAUGCUAGAGCAGAAUGUGAAGCCAAAUGCUGUGACCUUAGCAUCAAUACUCCCAUCAUGCAGCCAGUCAGGAAGUAUAGCAAUAGGCAAGCAGCUACAUUGUUUUGCGAUUCGCAAUUUGAUUGAGAACAAUGUUUAUGUUAUUUCUGCUUUGGUAGACAUGUAUUCAAAAUCAGGAAUCAUUGAUUAUGCUGAAAGUGUUUUUCUAAAAUCUCCUGAGAAGAACUCUGUGACAUAUACAAAUAUGAUUUUGGGAUAUGGCCAGCAUGGGAUGGGUAGGAAAGCUCUAACACUGUUCUACUCUUUGCGGCAGAAUGGUUUAGAACCAGAUGCUGUUACCUUUGUAGCAGUCCUGUCUGCUUGCAGCUACACCGGAUUGGUUGAUGAAGGCCUUCAAAUAUUUGAGCUGAUGGGCAAAGAAUACGGGAUUCAGCCGUCGGCAGAGCACUAUGCUUGUGUGGUUGACAUGUUAGGAAGAGUUGGACGGUUGGAUGAAGCUCAUAAUUUUGCUAAACAGUUGGGUGUUGAGGGUAAUGUCUUGGGAAUAUGGGGAUCACUCCUUGCAGCCUGCAGAGUACAUAGAAAUUUUGAAUUGGGGAAAAUUGUUUCCAGUAAGCUGCUUGAAUUAGAGGGGAGUGAUGAAAUUUCUGGUUAUCAUGUUCUGCUCUCAAAUAUAUAUGCAGAGGAAGGAAACUGGCAGUCUGUCGAUAAUGUCAGAAGAGGAAUGCGCAAAAUGGGAUUGUCAAAGGAGGUUGGGUGUAGUUGGAUUGAUACUUCUGGAUAUCCACACUGUUUUGUAUCUAAAGAUAAGAAGCAUCCUCAGUACUGCAUGAUAAAUGAUAUGUUGGGAUAUUUAACCAUCAAUAUGAAGGAUGCUGGCUAUAAGCCUAAACUUGAACUAAUAGAAGAGUGGGUCUAUGGGCCAGAAGAAUAAAAAACUAUUAGUUCUCCCACUAUGUUGUUGUUCUCCCACUAUGUACCUUUGUACUCAUGACAUUUUUGGACAGGAUUUUGCUAGAGUUAAUAUGAUCGUAGUUUAUCAAUGACCAGCUGCCUUUGAAAUUCGAGGUAAUUAAGUUGUGCUUUAGCUUGUUUUAGUUUAGUUUUUUCUUCUGAAUUAUGAUUUUUUACUUUGUAAAGAUACUCAGAGGUAGGAUAUUCAGUAAGUGAAAUGUAUGCAUAUUUCUUUAUUAAUACAGAGCAAUCAAGAAUAUCCAUUUUACCUUUUUGGUGGGAAACGAGGAGUCCCAGAUAGCAAAAGAAGGGUCUUAUCCAAGAUGACAACUUCUAUCAAGCUGUCUGAUUGACUGAAGCACAUUUAAAUUAGGUGACCAGUUCUUUCCUUUGAAUAACUUAUACUUGUUCUGCAGGUCAACUUUUAAACUAUUGUAUUAAGGAUAUUCUUUGAUAUAGUCUUUGCAAGUUCAUGAGUGUUUUUAUAUUGGAGCCAAAUGGCAUUAAUAUCACUUGUGAAGGUUGAACCAGAUAACUAUUAAUAUGUCUGCUAAGGUUGGUUCAGCUAAUUAUAGUAUGUGAAUAUCAAUGGAACUGGCAUAAGUGGAGUUUAUCAUUUGUGAAAAUGGUUCUGAAGCUACAACAAAUCAUAUAGAUAUGAUAAUCUCAGAAAAUUUCCUUAUUAGGCUGUCGGCUUAAUUUAUUGGACAUUGACAAACAAAAGCUUUCUAUAAAUUAGGUCUAGUUCUAGUGAUUAGUAGGAGGUUUUAUUGAGUAAAUAUGCAUAUAGACUCUUGCCAACCAAAUAAGUUCCAAGUCCAUAUUAUCGUUACUUGGUUUAUUAGGUUCCACAUGCUUUCUUACAAGCUGUUUGGGUCAAUUUAAUGUGAAUUAUUGCUCUUCAGUUUUCACAAGGGACAGAGGGUUUAAACGGCCUCUUCUUUUGGAGUUUUCUCCUUUUGGAUAAGGUAAAUAGUUUUACUAAGAGUUAAUGGUCAAAAACACAUCCAAACUAUCACUUUUUGCGAGUUUCAUACCUCAACUAUCAUUGUUCGCUUUACCUACCUAAACUAUCACCCCUGUUGUAUUAAAACUCACCUUGGUGCUAGGUGGUUCAUUUGUGAACAUGCAGGGUAUAGAAUGGUUGUUUAUUAUCUGAAGAUAAUAUGCUUAAGUGAGUGAGAAACUGAUAAAGUCAUAUGGUACAUUGAUGUCGCUAGAUCCUAACAUUUGUAAUUUCUAAGUCUCUCUGGAUUAUCAAAAUGGUUUUCAUCAUCUUUCAUAAGAUGCACAUUGUGAACUAGUAGAGUAUUGCAGGGUUUGGCUGCCAAUUUUCCAGUUUCUGCAAGUAGGUCAAGAAUAUAGUUUCUCUGAGAUAGAAAAAUUCCCUUCUUGCUUCUAUUUACUUCUACUUCCAAAAAAUAUUUCAACCGGCUUAAGUCCAGACUUUAGGGAAGAGAUCCUCUCACAAUAAGAAGGAUAGUGCCAGCUGCAGAUAGUCGACCGAAAACAGAGUGAUUACAUUUGCUCAUUUUCAGCCCACACGCUUGAACUACCUCACUGAACUUGUCAAACCAAUCUCGCUGGUUGAAGCCAUACAAAGACUUCUUCAAAUGAUAGACUUUCCUAUACUCCCCCUAAGCAAUAAAAUCGGGUGGUUGUUCCAUAUACACUCCCUCUUAAAGAUCACCAUAAAGGAAUACAUUCUUGAUAUCUAACUGGUGUAAAGACCAGUUCUUGAUAACAACUAGAGAAAUGAACAAACGGACAUAAAUGAGUUUGGAAACCGGAGAAAAGGUGUCUGAAUAGUACCCCAUAAGUCUGAGCAUAUUCUUUAGCCACAAGCUUGGCCUUAAGUCUUGCCAUGGAACCUUCUGGAUUAACUUUAACUGUGAACACACACUUACAUCCUACUGCUUUAUUCCCAUUGAAUCUACCAAAUUUCAUGUGUGAUUUUCCUCAGAUGCAUGUGUUUCCUCAAGCAUCGCAUUUGAUCAUCUAGGAUGAUUCAAAGCCUUCUUCACAGUUUUGUGUAUAGAAACAGAGUCUAGAGAAGCACUCAAGGAUCUAGAUGUGGAAGAUAUGCGAUCAUAGGAAACAAAGUUAGCAAUGGAAUAUUUGGAUUGCAAGUCCGUGUACCUUUACGAAGUGCAAUAGGGAUGUCAAAAUUUUCUAAAAGGAUCAAGUAGGGAAGGAUUUGAUGACAAAGGAACUGGUGCUACACAUGUAUCAUCGGCCUCUCGUCACCUCGAAUAAACUUGAGCAAUUGACGGUUUUGCUGGAACAUGCGUCGAAGGUGCAACAGUUGUGUGGUGCUCAAUAGAGUAACUAAGAGAUGGAAAAAUAACAUCAUCUGAUUGCAUAACAUGAGUAACCUGAUAAAUUAACCACUCAUCUUCCACCCCCUUACUUGUAGAACUGCGAGAGAUAUAGAAGAAUAAUGUAGUUUUUGAAAAUAUCACAUCAUUUGACACCAAAUAGUUGCCAAGUUCAGUAGAAUAACAUUGAUACCCCCUCUAAAGACAAGAAUAACCCAAGAAAACACAUUUCAAUGCCUUAGGGUCCAACUUAGUAACAAACGGGAGUACCUCUCGAACAUAACACUUACUUCCGAAUACCUUUGGUUCCAUUGGAAAUAAUGACUUGUUUAGAAAAAGAAUAGUGUAAGGCAAAUUACAAACAAGCACCGUGGAUGACAUGCAAUUAAUCAAAAAACAAGCUGUAGAGAGUGUAUCAACCCAAACUUUUUAGGAACUUUCAUUUGGAACAUAAGUGCUCGGAUUGUCUCAAGUAGAUGCCCUAUUCUUACUCUCAUCAACUCCAUUUUGAGAAGGUGUAUCAACACAUGACGAUUGAUGGAGAAUAUCGUGUUUUCUCAAUAGGAUUGAAAUAAGUCUGACAUAUAUUCUUUAGCAUUAUCACUCCUUAAAAUACACAUCAAAGUAUUGAAUUAAGUUUUUAUUUCAACACAAAAGUGUGUAAACAUUUCAAAGAGACUUUUCAUGAAAUAAAUCCAAGUCAUUCGAUAGAAAUUAUCCACAAAAGUGACAAAAUACUUAUGUCCAGUUUUUGAAUCAAUGGGACGUGGUCCCCAAACAUCAUAAUGAAUUAGCGCAAAAGCUUACUCAAUCGGUUUAUUAACCCUUGGACGUAACGUGUUGCGAUGAUGUUUUGCAAAUUGACAUGAUUCACAUUUCAAAGAAGGAACAUUUUGAAACAGGGGGCAGAGCUUCUUUAACAAAAGUAAAGAAUGAUUUCCCAAUCGAUAAUGUGCUACAAAUAAAACCAUGACACUUGUGCAGACAACAAAUCGAGGCUCAUAUUUAUCAAGGAUAUAUAGAUCAUCAAAUAUAUAUCCUUUACCAAUAACCUUAUGUGUGGCAAGAUCACGAAACAUGCAUGAUCGGGAAAGAAUGAAAUAUAACAAUUAAGAUCUAUAAUAAGUUUACUCACAGAAAUCAAAUUGAAGGCCAACUUCGGCAUUUUUUUUUUUGAAAUAAGGGUAACUUUGUGUUCACAAAAAAAAUCAUCAUCCAAGAAAUGAUGAAUUGGAAACUUACAUCCCAUAGUAUGAUGGGCACACCCCUAUGAAGGUAACUAAAUUACAAGUUUCCUAAGAAAUCAACUACUUCUACCACCUCCCCCACCAAAUCUUGUUUACACCAAAGAAAUAGAAGACUAAUACAACUUGUUAAUCCUUUAAAAAGUAAUUUUUUUGUCCUUUAAAACACCUAGUAUUUCGGUUACCAAAAAAAACACCUAGUAUUUCUUUCCUUCCAUAUGGACCAAUAGCUACAUGUUGGGAAGAGCUUCCACCAUUCUUCCUUUUUCCUCUGCUUCCAACUCUUAGCCAACUCUUCAGAAGCUUUAAAGUAGUCUUUGGCAUCACCUAGCUAACCCUCCAAAUGCAUAAAACAUAUUCACAAAUUGGCAGCUAUUUGGCAAUGUAUGAGCAGAUGGUUGUUCACUUCAGCUUCCUGUUCACACAAGCACCUUGAACAAAUUUGCAUGCCUCUUUUCUGUAGGGCCUCAUGAGUAAGACAUGUUUUUCUGAUUAGUAUCCAAACAAAACAUGAGACUUUCAAUGGACAUUUCACCUUCAAAAACAGUUUCUAGGGCCGUCUCUCAAUCAGUAGGACAUUAUAAUUCAUCUUCCAAUAGCUUGAUUUCACUAUAUAGAUCCUUUUGUUGUGUAUUUCCCAUAUUGGCUUAUCAAACCUCUAAGAAGUACCUGGGAAAUCAUUAAGAACCCCUAAUAGCUUGGCAAUCUCCUCAAUUUCACAAUCAUUCAAUGCUCUCCUUCAAAGUAGAUUCCAACCCUGUUUACUCCAGGCUUGUUCCACAGUGUCAUUUUUCUGCAUACUCAAUGUAUAUAGAAGAGGUAAUAGGUUUCUCAAACUGUCUUCCUCUAUCUAUAUUUCAUUCAUGAACUCUGUCUUCAGUCCAUCCCCAACACUAAUACAUAUGCUGUUUUUGAAAUGUGGCUAUUGUCUUCUAAUGGUCUUCCAAACACUGCAUCUAAAUGUGCCAUAACCUCUUCAGUUGUCCACCGGUUAAAUAAACCAUACUUUCCUGAUAUAAAUCUUCUCCAUAUGGCUCUAUAUUCUAUGCAGAAUCUCCAUAGCCACUUUGGGAGUAAACUACUAUUUUGGAGACUUAGGUUCUUCAAUCUUAGCCUCCUUGGUUUUUGCUAAGUGUGAGAGUAUCCCACUUCACCAAGUUGCAGCCUUCCUUUUCCUUGUUGCCUUGCCAAAGAAAAGAUCUCCUGAGCCUAUUUAUAUUCUUCUCAAUGUUCUUGGGGACUGGAAAUAAACUCAUCAUAUAAGUAAAUGAUCCAUCUAAUACUGAUUUGAUGAGGGUCACCCUGCCACCCGUGGACAAAUACUAGUUUUUUCAUUGGGCUAGUUUCUUCUCACAUCUCUCCAACACCACAAUGCACACUUCCAGCUCUUUGCUCUUAGCACCCAAAGGUAGUUCCAGAUAUUUUGUUGGUUGUGCAUCUACCUAGCAACUCAAUGUCUCGGCUAGCCCAAGAAAAUUGUCAACUAAGUUGAUAGGGAGGAGAUGACUCUUCAACCAAUUGACAUGGAGGCUUGAAAUGCUCUACUAAAUAGUGAGUAUAGCACUUAUGUGUCUAAUUUGUGCCUCCUUUGCCUUACAGAACAUAAGAGCAUCAUCAACAUAGAAAAAGUGUGUGAUCUCCAGCUCCUUCCCUGUCCCAGCAAGUGCACUAAAUCCUCUCCCAUCCAUUAGUCUUUGCCUUCUGGAACAUGUGAACCCUCCAGGGCUAUUAAGAAUAGGAAUAGGGACAUAGGAUCUCCCUGUCUAAGACCUCUCUGAGAUUGGAAGAAUCCUUCAGUGUUUCCAUUUAUGAGGAGGGAAAACUUCACACUUGAAAUGCAGUUAUUGAUCCAGCCAAUCCACUUGCUACCAAAUCCCAUGUCCUUUAGAAUUUUUAGAAGGAAAUUCCAGUUAACAUGGUCAUAGGUUUUAUCAAUGUCUAGCUUGCAUAGAAUCCUCAGUUUCUUCUGCUUUACCAUGGAGUUGACCAAUUCAUUAGCCAACAAUGUUGCAUCCAUUAUUUGCCUACAUCUCAAAAAAGCCAUUUGGUGUUCAUCAACCAAUUUCACUAUCACUGUCUUCAUUCUCUCAGUUAGCAACUUGGAGAUGAUUUUAUAGACUACUCCUAUCAAACUGAUUGGUCUGAAGUCUUUUAGCUCAAUUGCAUCAGGUUUCUUUGGGAUUAAAGCGAUGAAUGUAACAUUAAAUGAUUUCUCAAAUGCACUCCUCUGAUGGAAAUUUUGUAUACUCAACAUUAAAGCCCUCUUUCAAAAUAUCCCAACAUUUCUUAAAGAAAUCCAUAGUGAAGUCAUCAGGGACAUGUGCUUUGUCCCUAUCACACUGGUUGAUGAUCAGUAGCACUUCCUCAUCUGUAAAUGGUCUUUGUAACCUUUCAUUUUCAUCUACAGAGACUGUUGGAUAUCCUACAAAAUCAAAAGAGGGUCUCUAGGAUUCAAGUUCUGAGUAGAGUCUGGCAUUUAAUACAGAUGAUAGGGUAAUAGAGGAAGUUGCUUUAAUGGUUCCAAAUCCCACAAUGUUAUGUGUUGAGCCAUCAACUACCAUUACUUGAGAGGGUGCUUUGUGUAGUCGAAAGGUAGAAAAUAUAUUCGGAUUACGUGUCAUGUGAUUGUGUCAUGUGAUUUGUAGUACCUGAAUCAAUCGCCCAGCUGUUCAAAGAGGAGACCGCAUAUGCUUUUCUUGAAUCAACAAGGGUAGUAGUUGAAAUGAAUUCUUUAAAGGAUUAUCGAUACUAAGAGGACUCCGCAAACUCAUUCGCCGAAACCAAAAUUGUCUUACCCUCAUAAUUUAUAGCCAUAUUUACUCCUUUCUAAUUGUUUGAGUUAUAGUUUCCAACAUAAAAUACCCAAAAUAUCAAUAUAUGAGAAGCCAACAAACACAAACAAUACCAACAAAUACAAUCCAGUACUGAAAAAGCAAUUCUUUAAUAUCAAGACAUGCAAAAUUUUAUGGGAUUAAAUCCAUACAAAAUUUGAACGAAGUUAUAAAUUCACGACAUUGACCCAAGUCAAUAUUUUGGGUUAAUAAAGUCGGAUUAAUUAUUUAAGUCAAGAUUGCAUGACUUAAGUCAAAUCCAACUACAUUGGGCUAGGUUGGGCCUCUACAAAAUGGUCCCCCCACUUGUUUUAAGCCCAAGGGUCCAUUAUGAUUACUUGGAGGCUACCCUAAAACCUUCAUCAAUGCCUAUAUAAAAUAAAGGGGCUACAUUUCUCUUUGGAAGCAUUUUGGAAAUUCUAUAACAUCUUUGAAGAUUCUAAGAUGGAAUUGGACAAAGACAAGAGAGUGUUCGACUGGAACAACGGCCAACAAAGACUAAUUACAUAGAUAACUACUCCUCCCUUCUCCUUAAGGCGUUAAGGCGAACUGUGUAGAGGUAGGAAAGAAAGACGUCCUCACCUUCUUUGGUAUCAGUGAGAGCAAUUUGAGUAUCCCUCGUGCACCUUCUUUUGUAGAUAGAAUCCUUAAUGAGUGGAAAUAAGCAACCUUACUAAGAAAGGUGCUUGUUGAGUAAGGACGACUUUCAGGCCAACCCUUGGUAUAGGUUGGGCACUUGAGCGCAUGAUUGGUCCAUUGAAUAUUGUAUAGGCCCCUAAGCCUCUCGAGCGCAGGGAUGCACACAUCUUAUAUAUCAUGAUCAUGUCAAUGCAAUCAACACGCCAAAUUUCAUUUAUUUGUUCUAUUAAGUACUUCUUUCACGCCAUUAGCUUUGAAAUUGUCUCCCUUUGCCAGUUCACCUCGAUGAAAUACUUAAGAAUAGCCUAGCUUUAGAAGGUCAUUAAUAAUAUUUGAUUCCAAGAAAUUAGCAACCAAUUCUCCCAACAAAAUAAUUGUAGUCGAAGUCAAAUAUCAAAUUAAUUUGACAUAAGGAUCAAGCAUCCACAAAACACUAUUAAUUCAAUAUUGAGCAAAACUAAACAAAUCGUGACAACACCAAAUAGAAACCAGAUCUAAAUCACAAAAGCUUCAGGGAAAAUAUGAGCUUGGAAGUAGUUUUCAGAAAACAAUAUGAACCUAGAAGUGACGAAGAGUUACCCAAACAGUGUUUCAACACUAAACAAAACUCAGGGUACGUCGAAACUGAUAAGACGACACCGGAUGUUCAAUCUUUGAAAGAUUUUGAUGGAGCACGCGCCUCCACACGUCGACGCGUGACUGACAAAUGAGAGAUGUAGCUGGUGCGUGGUGGAAAUUGAUCACUUUGAAAGUGAUCGAAAGGAUGAUCUGCCUCCUCCCACAGUGGCGGUGACACAAAUUGACCACUUUGAAAGUGAUUGAUUUGAAAUUUGACUCUGUUUCUGUAAGACAACAAAACAAGAUCGAGUUGCCUCAAAACAUAGCCAAAACAAGAUCAAGGAACCUAUAGGCUCUGAUACCAUUGAAUGGAAGUUGAUGAUCUUAUUCCAAUAAGUAAGCAAGAUAUAAAUAUAAUACAUUAGGUGCUAACUUAGGAAAGAAAAUAAAGAGGGAAUCCUACAAAUCUGCUAGCUAAUUUUUUUUUGUUGAUUGUAGCGUUCGGGCCAACUUUCGCGCACCUUGACUAAUUAUAAGAGAUUUCAACAAAUUUACUAGCUAAUUAUGCCUAUGUACAUUACUAAGAAUGAUGUCUAUAUACAUUUUGUAACAAUUAGUCCUUUUGACCACAUUUAUAUGAGGUAGUUUGACUUGAUACGCAGUCAAAGAAAGAAAGAAAGACUUUUGAAAAUUGUGGCUAAAUUAAGUCAUAAAUGUUUGUGUGACUAUAGAUCAUCUCAUUAAGGAUAAAAUGAACAUUUUAAAGUUAAUUUUUUUACUAAAAAUAGAACUGUGUCAUUCCUUUUGGGACUAACUAAAAUGGAAAGUAAAUUAUAUAAACUGGGAUAGAAGAGUAUAUAUAUGUGUGUGAUUCCUUUUUGGCUGAAUGAUUGUUUUCGUAGGUGAUAAAGCUUAUAAUUGUAGAUUGAUUUACUCAGAAGUUUGCUUUUACUGUGCUUUGUGAUCAUCAGGUUCUGCUUGUUGUGCUGACGUUUUCUGGUACUCUUCUUUAAUAUGCUUUAGUUUAGGAAAGUUAAUUUUUAGAGAUAUGAUAGUUCUUUGAAGGGAAAAAGUAAGAUCUUUCAUGGCUUUCUCUUUUAGAUUUUUUGUCAUGGUUCUGUAAAACUUUCCUUUUUCGAUCUGCUUUGAUAUGCUUUUCCUUGAGUUGAGGGUCAAUCAAAAAAUCUUAUUUUAGAUGCACAAUAUUUAUGGUAGUUUUUGGUCAUAUAUUAACACUCAUCCGUUUUAUGAAUCCUCUUCAAGAGCUUACUUUUUUCAUGUUUGAGCCUUUCCUUGUAGAUCUAAAAGAAAAUGAACACCAAUCAAACAUGCAACAACUCCUUCUGGACUAAGGAGGAGGAUAAACUCUUUGAGAAUACUGUUGCGAUCAACAAGGAUAACAACAAUCUAUUAGAGGAAAUGGAAGAAGCACUUCCUGGGAAAUCGGCUGGUGAAGAUAUAUUAAUUGAAGAUAUCAAUGUCAUCGAGUCUGGAUAUGUCCCAUUACCUAAUCAUCCUGAAAUGCAAAACCAGAAUUCAAAAGCAGAUGCAGAAUGGCGAAAAGGGGCUUCUUGGACAGAACAGGAACACAUGUCAGUUUCUAGUACAGUUCUUGAUGACGACAUGAAUAAUCUGAAUUGAAGUUUAAAUCAUUUCUUGUAAUUGAUUGCACGAUUUACAUUUUUACUAAAACGGAAUUUCCAAUAUUCUUAUUUCUCACUGACCAUCUUGGUGUGCUUCUAAACAUCUCAUAUAUUAUUAUGUUUCUAGGUGGAUAGAGUACAUCUUCGUAUAUGUCAUAGGUGUAUUUGGUCUUCAUAAAAGCUUCAGUUCUGGAGAUAUUUUGUGUAACUUGUAGCUAAGACAAACGGUGCUUACACGUAUUUCAUCUAAUUGAAUAUCACGUGAAGAGUCCCUUUUAUGCUGUCCUGCGAUCUUGUUUCCUGGAUUAACUUCAAAGCUGAUAAUAACUUAUUUCUCUAUCUUUCCUGCUAUAGGUCAUUUCUCCGGGGCAUAGAAAUAAAUGAUAAAGGUGACUGGAGAAGUAUAUCUAGGCACUGUGUGAUAACAAGAACAGCAAAGCAGGAGGAUGCUGAAGCCACAGGAACUUCCCAAGUUCCACACACCGAGUAUAUUAUUGGGUCUGCUUACGGAGGAUCACAAGCAGUGCCAAACACUAGCAAUGAGAGCAUGUUGCCUCGAGAAAGCACCAAUGCGGAGCAGAUGAUAGAAGUUGUUGGAGGAGAGUCCACAGACCAUAAUGCUGUUGUCAAUGUUGGGUCUGAUGUGAAUGUUGAUGCUGGAAGUUCCCUAUUACCCAGCAAACAAUCAUGUACUGCUGCUAGCAGUGGAACUUACGGUCAUCCUAUCUCUAGAAUUGGGAGUGAACUUGAAGCACUGCUCACUGAACCCAUGGAUGAAGAUAAUGAUAUUACUACCAUUUUUGAUGUUGGGAAAGCACCAACUUCUUAUCCUGUGCUGUUCGAUGCUACUUUAAGCGGAGUCCCCCGCUAUUCAGCUGCAGAGGCGGCUCUUGCUCAGUUACCUCCCUUUGAUGAUGAAGGCAUUUUUGAUCCGGAUGACCUGUUCACAGAUCCGAUGUUCUGAUUUGGUGGAGGAGAGGCACUUUUUUUUUUUUUUUUUGAAGACAUGCCAUUAUGUUAGUCAGUAUUGCUCUUCUUUAUCUAUUCUUAAUCUGCUUUAGGGAGCAAGAUUUUGUGUAUCUUCAAACUCUUUUGAGAGACUAGGUGGAUUUUGGUUGAAAAUUUUCAAAAGAAAAUGGUAGCAAUUUGAUUUCUUGCAAGCUCUUUGUUUAUGUAGUUUGUUGGUUUAUCUUUUUGCCAAAACCUCUUACAAGCUAAUGGUUCAGACUAGAAUCAAAUGCUACUAAGCUAAGUGUAUUUCUGUAUUCUUAUGGCUACCUGAUCAUAAAACAUAUCUAAUGUUAUGAGGAGCCCACCACCAGCGGGGUGGGACGAGGGUGGGGUGUCUGGACCGUUGUGAUUGUUUAAUCGAUCAAAUGAUCAAACUGCUUCUUAAUGUAUGGGGUGGGACUAUUUUAGUCUUUCAUAAAUACCACUUAACCAGUAUAGACCUUAAUGUAUAGAAAAAAGUGAUCUUUUUCCUUCUGCCACCAGUGUGUGCCUGCAACAAUGGAGUGUACAUUUUUAUUGCUUUCCUUAUCACGUAGUUUUGUUCUUGCAGCAAGACUCCCAGUUGGUUUAAAGUUUCGAAGGCAGCCAUAUAUUAAUUAUUGGUGCAAGAGUUUCCAUCAAAGGUAGAAAAAAAUUGCUCUUUCUUCUCAUCAUAUCAGAUUUGGUUUUCGUCUAAGUUGACCUCAUUUAGAGAAAGCUUUCUCAAAGGACCGCAGUUGAUGAGUUAACCAAGCUUGAAAGUUGCAACCAUGUUUAGAGAGAAUACUAAUAUAUAAUCUUGUCUCUUUAAAACUAAUAUAUAUGAGUAUUUUGUAAAUGAGGCAUUCAGGUAAUAUGUCUCCUUGUGGUCACAUAAUUCUUCUUAUUAAUGUGCAAACAGCCAAACAUACCUUAAAUACCUGAUUUUGUAGUUUGAUUUUGCUGCAAAACUUGAUAAUCAGCUCUUUGUCACGCUUCUGCAAUUUCCAUCCAGCAUUCUUUCCUUAUGAUGCUGAGUAAAUUUAGUCCUCAAUCAUCGAAAGGAAACAUCAGGUGCACAGGUACCACAUAGUGUUACGAAAACUGGUGUACCCUUAGGCCUUAGCGCUUAUACUAAGCUCAAGUAUUAUACUAAAUGCAACAACAUAUUGAGGACAACACUCAUUUCAUAAAGGUGUGCUUAUACUAAAGAGCUAUGGCUCAAAUAUUACAACUUCUUCUUGUCUCUUAAUGUUGUGGAAUCGAAUCCACUAUAUAGAGUCAACUGCUUGAGCAGUUUAGCCAUUUUGAGCAAUGUUUCUCAACAAUGGUGAGAUUCAUUCUCUCAGCUACACCAUUGUCUUUUCAUGUCUGAUCUCAUUGCUUGAAUAUUACUGCUCAAAUUCCAUUGUCAGUGUAGAGACGCUUUAGCUUUCUACCUGUCUCCCUUUUCACCAUAGCAUGAAACUUCUGGAAUACUUGAAACACCGGAUGUUUGGUUUUCAAGAUAUAAACCCACAACUUUCGUGAAGUAUAGUCUAAAUUGACCUCAUUUAGAGAAAACUUUCUCAAAGAACGUUAUUCCUUUUUAAAAUAUUGUCACUUCAUGAUAACCAUAAAGAGUGGACUGAUUCAAGGAUGACAUUAAUAAUAUUUGUUAUUAUUCCCUUUUAUGAUCCAGUAGGAGUCAAUUUUUCCUUUGUGAAGCUGUACUUGUACUAAGUGUAAAGUCACAAUAUUCAUCACAUGAAGGAGUAAGUGAGCUCCGAGAUGUUGAAUCUGUUGCACGAGGAAGAGGAAAGAAAGGGAAAAGAAGAGUAUAUAAAACGUUGUGUGUAUAUCAUAACGCCAACCUCAAAAAUAGAGUCGACUGCUUCAAGGAUUGACAACGAUUGAUUUAUCUGAUAACAAACCUUCAAAUCCACAUGUCUACAAAAAUAUAUUGGAAUCUUGAUACUGCCUGGUAAUUUUUUGACUUAAAUAAACAACACCAAUGAAAUGAUAGUUAGAGAUAAUCUAUCCUCACCAAUAGAUUAAUAAACUUUAGAGAGAAAUUAACUGCAUCACCAAUCUAAUAAAAAUUAUUAUUUCACUCUCUUUGUAAGGCUCCUUCGUGCUAGCUUCCAAUUUCUGAGUUCCACAGGAUUUUCCGAUCAAAUUUGUAGGCUUUUACUUCUUUUAAAUGUCAAUGGCUAGGCAUUCUUUCAUGAAAAGUAGACUGACUCAAAUUCUUCAUAUACAUCAAACGAUCCAUGAAACUGUAACCAUUUCACUUGUUGAUUGCAGGUUAAGUCUCCUCGGAUGACAACUCAAUAGCAAAGCAGUCACAAGCAUUGAAAACUCCUAAAGUGAGGCACUAUAUAUCUAUAUCUAAAAUGACAACUUGGCCUGGGGUAUAACAACUGUGUGUGCCCUCUGAACUUAUUUUUUUUUGUCAAAAUGGAUGGAAACUUGAGACCAUGAGACCGAGUUUGAUAGAAAUUUGUUCAACUUACAAAGCCAUGCCAAAUCUAAAUUGUGGCAAAGCAAAUCUAUUUUUGAGUGCUUUAGCUGUCUUGACUCUAUUGCAACUUUCAGCUCAAGAAUCAUAAAUCCCGUAUAUAUUCUAGCGAAUACCAAAUUUGGAGCAUCAAUCUUCCUUGUGCCACCUGAAUCGUCCUUAAUCUUCAAGAGAUUUAGGAAAUUGAGAUGUAGAAAUAAGGUGCUCGAGAUUCCAUCACAUGUCCACAUUCAGUAACAUCCAAAUUGUCUGGGGAAGAACUAGAAUAAUACAAGUGUUCAAGAUUGAUGCUUUAACACCCUGGUUUCUUGUUGUACAUAUGAAAACUGACCUGAUCUUUUGAAGAUUUAGCAGCUCAAUCUUUUUCAACCUUCUAUAACAAUGCUCAAGUGUGAGUUAGUGAUUGACCUCCAUCACCUGACAAAAAAGUAAUAGCAUCACAAGAAAAGAUCGCGUUGAAGUUGGUUAUAAGCGAAUUUCGUCCUCUGAAUAGAUAGCUAAAUAAUCAUUUGGCAAAGGUAGUUCUUAAAUGUUCACUUCUUUUCCCUUCUAUCUUUGUCUACAUUCUUUGUUUCCGGGCAGGGGGUGAAGGACAUAAGAGAAGAUUUUUCCUAUAGGUAAGGAAGAGGCGAAAAAGGAGCAUUAGUCACUAAGCCCAUGGACGAAGACAAUGAUAUCAGUUCCAUUUUUGAUGUUGGGAAAGCACCAACUGCUCAUAGUGGAAUGUCCAGAUAUAUAUGCAGCUGCAGGGGCAACUCUUGCUUAGUCACCUCCCUUUGCCCCCUCAGCUAAACUCCCAUUGACGAUGAAGGCACUUUUAAUAUGCAUGACUUGUUCACAGAUCAGAUGUUCUGAUUUGAUGGAGGAGAAGCUGUUAAGUUUGAUAUUAGUUGCUCACAACCAGAUAGGCUGUUAAUAUUGAUACUGCACUUGGUUUUUUGAAGAUCUGUUUAUCAAUUAAAUGAUCAAAAUGGUCCUUAAUGUAUGGGGUUGGACUAUUUUAGUCAUUUAUAUAUACCUCGUAAUCGAAAUAUGUGUAGAAAAAGUGACCUUUUUCCUCCCGCCACCACCUUUAAUAUAUCAUUUUUUCAUAUAUUAAGGACUAUUUUGAUAUGAUAUAUAUGAACUAAAAGGAUCACUUUUCUGUACAUUAAGGACUAUUUCUGUUUAAACUCCCCCUUCUGACAUGUUAUGUGAACUCCCUGUCUUGCAAAAGUAAUAGCCAAUGUGGUUUUUAGUUGUUGCAGCAAAUAGAUUUCAUGUAAUACAUGUCAGAGUUCACAUUGAAAACAAAACACCAAGAGAUUGUCUCCUUGCAAAUGUCUAUUUGUUCAAUUGUGUAAAUAAAUUGCAAACAUGAUCCAAUUAAUAAAGGGGAAAUUGUAUAAAAUAACAAACUAUUAAUUCAAAAUAAAUGUUAUAACCACAGUUUCAAUUAAUUCUGAUCCGUAGCAAACACUUUGUCAUUUCCCUCUCUCUCCUGCAUCUCACUCGCCACUCUCCUUGAAUCUCGCUCGCCACACUCCCUCACCUCUCUCACUUUAUACAAACACAAAUGUAUAAAUUGUGUUUGUAUAAAGCGAAAGAGAACUGUAUAUGCAAAUACAAAUACAUAUUUCUUCGUCCUACACACUUAUAAUUAUACAAAUACAAAUUUUCUCCUGCUCAAUUCUCUUUUUGUUUUUCUCUCUUUUUCACUUUAUACAAACACAAAUUACAUAUACAUAUACAAACACAAUUUUCAUAGACACAAACAUCCAUUUAAUACGAAUCUCCGUGAUUUAUACAAAUCGUUGCGAUUUAUACAAAUAAGAUGCUUACGAUUUUAUGCAAUCAGAUGUUGCUUGUGAUUUUAUUCAAAUUUGAUGCUCCAUAGCAAACAUGCAAAUAGAAAAAGUGUAGCUAUAAAACGUUAAUAUGAUUUUUUAUGUUUUCUAAACCUAAUAUUUACUCAAUUAAUGUCUUUGAAAUUGGUAACUAAAUAAUUUUGUGAGAUAAAAUAUAAUUUCCUUGAAGAAGAUAAAGUUUUAAAAAUAUGUCUUCCAUCUUUUGACAAUUCUUUUGAUUUCAAUUUUUCAUUUAAUAUAUUUUAGAAUAGAAACAUAUCUUUAUUUUUAAAUUAAAAAUUUUAAUUUUUUUUUUCUAAAAUUACUCACUCCGUUUAAAAAAUAAUGACCUAGUUUGACUUGGAACGGAAUUUAAAAAAAGAAAGAAAGUUUUUAAUUUUGUGGUUCUAAAUUAAAGUUAUGUCAAACGUACCAAAAUGUUCUUUAAUCUUGUGGCCUGAAACAUAUCACGUGAAAGAUUGAAGUUAAAGUAUUGACAAAAAAGGAAAAAAGAUUAUUCUUUUUUAAACGGACUAAAAAGGAAAUCUGAUCAUUUUUUUUGAAAUAGAAUACUUGUUAGGUUAAAAUUAGACAAACAAAUAGUGAAUGAGUAAUUGUAAGACCAAACCAUUGUCUUCUUCCUCUUCCUUCAACUUUCUCACAGUCUCCAUCUUUGAGCUUAACCCAUCUCCCAAAUUACUCUUCUUUACCCCUCACCGACCAACAAUGCACUCUUACAGACUCAAAACCCAGAACAAUUCGCUUUCGUUUAAGCGAAUUGUGCAGACAAGGCCAACCCCAUCUACUGUUCGAUACAAUUCCUCAACCAACAACUGUGCUUUGGAACACAAUAAUAAUUGGGUUUAUCUGUAAUAACAUGCCCCAUGAAGCCAUUUCAUUCUAUUCUCGAUUGAAUCAUGUGGGUUCAUCCAUAUGUGAUCAGUAUACUUAUUCCUCUGUUCUCAAGGCUUGCGCGGAGACCAAACGGAUUCUUGUAGGUAAAGCUGUGCAUUGCCACAUUCUGCGUUCUGGGAUUCAUCCUAGUAGGAUUGUUAGUAAUUCUUUGUUGAAUAUGUACUCUGCUACUUGUCUUACAUUGGAUAAUGGUUCUGAUUGUGAUUUAGUUGAAAGGGUGUUUAGAACUAUGCGUAAAAGAAAUGUUGUUGGGUGGAAUACUAUUUUUUCAUGGUAUGUGAAAAGGAAGAGGUUUUCGGAAGCAGUGAGGUGUUUUGUUAUGAUGAUGAGAUUAGGUAUUAAGCCAACUGUUGUUAGUUUUAUUAAUGUUUUUCCUGCUGUAUCAGAAAUAGGGGAUGUUAGAGUUGCUUAUGUUCUUUAUGGGUUGCUUGUGAAAUUGGGUAAUGCAUAUGUAAAUGACUUGUUUGUUGUUAGUGCUGCCAUUGUUAUGUAUGCUGAGCUUGGUUGCAUUGAUCUGGCAACCAGAAUAUUUGAGAAUACUUGUGAAAGAAAUAUAGAGAUCUGGAACUCUAUGAUUAGCGGGUACAUUCAGAACAAUUUUCCUUUAAAAGCUGUUGAUCUCUUUCUUGAAGCUGUAGAAGCAGAGGAUGCUGUUACUACUGAUGAUGUGACAUUUGUAUCCGCUCUUAUGGCAACUUCACAGUUGCAGCAUUUGGAGUUUGCCCAAUAGCUACAUGCAUGUCUGAUAAAGAAAUGCAAGGAUUCACAGGUUAUUUCGCUUAAUGCUAUGAUAGCCACAUACUCUAGGUGUAACCAUGUUCUACUCUUUGCAGCAGAAUGGUUUAGAACCAGAUGCUGUUACCUUUGUAGCAGUCCUGUCUACUUGCAGCUACACCGGAUUGGCCGGUACAGGCCUUUAAAUAUUUGAGCUGAUGGGUGAAGAAUAUGGGAUUCAGCCAUCAGCAGAGCACUAUGCUUGUGUGGUUGACAUGUUAGGAGAGUUGGACGGUUGGAUGAAGCUCAUAAUUUUUCUAAACACUUGGGUGUUGAGGGUAAUGUCUUGGGAAGAUGGGGAUCACUCCUUGCAGCCUGCAGAGUGCAUAUAAAUUUUGAAUUGGGGUAAAUUGUUUCCAGUAAGCUGCUUGAAUUAGAGGGGAGUGAUGGAAUUUAUGGUUAUCAUAUUCUGCUUUCAAAUAUAUAUGCAGAGGUAGGAAACUGGCAGUCUGUCAAUAACGUCAGAAGAGGAAUGCUCAAAAUGAGAUUGUCAAAGGAGGUUGGGUGUAGUUGGAUUGAUACUUCUGGAUAUCCACACUGUUUUGUAUCUAAAGAUAAGAAGCUUCCUCAGUACUGCAUGAUAUAUGAUAUGUUGGGAUAUUUAACCAUCAAUAUGUAGGAUGCUGGCUAUAAGCCUAAACUUGAACUAAUAGAAGAGUGGAUCUAUGGGCUAGAAGAAUAAAAAACUAUUAGUUCUCCCACUAUGUUGUUGUUCUCGGACUAUGUAGCUUUGUAUUCAUGAUAUUUUUGGACAGGAUUUUGCUAGAGUUAAUAUGAUCGUAGUUUAUCAAUGACCAGCUGCCUUUGAAAUUCGAGGUAAUUAAGUUGUGUUUUAGCUUUUUUUAGUUUAGUUUUUUCUUCUGAAUUAUGCUUUUUUACUUUGUAAAGAUACUCAGAAGUAGGAUAUUCAGUUAGUGAAAUAUAUGUAUAAUUCUUUAUUACNNNNNNNNNNNNNNNNNNNNNNNNNNNNNNNNNNNNNNNNNNNNNNNNNUCAAGAAUAUCCAUUUUACCUUUUUGGUGGGAAACGAGGAGUCCCAGAUCGCAAAAGAAGGGUCUUAUCCAAAAUGACAACUUCUAUCAAGCUGUCUGAUUGACUGAAGCACAUGUAAAUUAGGUGACCAGUUCUUUCCUUUGAAUAACUUAUACUUGUCCUGCAGGUCGACUUUUAAACUGUUGUAUUAAGGAUUUUCUUUGAUAUAGUGUUUGCAAGUUCAUGCGUGUUUUUAUAUUGGAGCCAAAUGGCAUUAAUAACACUUGUUAAGGUUGGUCCAGAUAACUAUUAAUAUGUCUGCUAAGGUUGGUUCAAUCAGUGGGAUAUUAUAGUUCAUCUUUCAAUAGCAUGAUUUCACUAUAUAGACCCUUUUGUUGUGUAUUUUUCAUCUUGGCUUAUCAAACCUCUAAGAAGUACUUAGGAAAUCAUUAAGAACCCCUAAUAGUUUAGCAACCUCCUCAAUUUCACAAUCAUUCAAUGCGCUCCUAAAAAGUAGAUUCCAACCGUGUUGACUCCAGGCUUGUUCCACAGUGUCAUUGUUCUGCAUACUCAAUGUAUAUAGAAGAGGGAAUAGGUUUCUAAAACUGUCUUCUUCUAUCUAUCUUUCAUUCAAGAACUCUGUCUUCCGUCCAUCCCCAACACCUAAUACAUAUGUUGUUUUUGAAAUGUGGCCAUAGUCUUCUAAUGGUCUUCCAAACACUGCAUCCAAAUGUGCCCAUCACCUCUUCAGUUGUCCAUUGGUUAAAUAAACCAUACUUUCCUGAUAUAAAUCUCUUCUAUAAGGCUCUAUAUUCUAUACAGAAUGUCCAUAGCCACUUUUGGAGUAAACUACUGUUUUAGAGACUUAGGUCCUUCAACCCUAGCCUCCUUGGUUUUUGCUAAGUGUGAGAGUAUCCCACUUCACCAAGUUGUAGCCUUCCCUUUCCUUAUUGCCUUGCCAAAGAAAAGAUAUCCUGAGCCUAUUUAUUUUCUUCUCAAUGUUCUUGGGGACUGGAAAUAAACUCAUCAUAUAAGUAGGUGAUUCAUCUAAUACUGUCUUGAUGAGGGUCACCCUACCACCUAUGGACAAAUACUAGCUUCUUCACCGGGCUUAUUUUCUCCCACAUCUCUCCAACACCACAUUGCACACUUCCAGCUCUUUGUUCUUAGCACCCAAAGGUAGUUCCAGAUAUUUUGUUGGUUGUGCAUCUACCUAGCAACUCAAUGUCUCAACUAGCCCAAGAAAAUUGUCAACUUGCUUGAUAUGGAGGAGAUGACUCUUCAGCCAAUUGACAUGGAGGCUUGAAAUGCUCUGCUAAAUAGUGAGUAUUGCCCUUAUGUGUCUAAUUUGUUCCUCCUUUGCCUCAUAGAAUAUAAGAGCAUCAUCAACAUAGAAUAAAUGUGUUAUCUGCAGCUCCUUCCCUCUCCCAGAAAGUGCACUAAAUCCUCUCCAACCCAUUACUCUUUGCCUUCCGGAACAUGUGAUUCAACCCCUUCAUGGCUAUUAAGAAUAGGAAUAGGGACAUAGGAUCUCCCUGUCUAAGACCUCUCUGAGAUUGGAAGAAUCCUUCAGUGUUUCCAUUUAUGAGGAGGGAAAACUUCACACUUGAAAUGCAGUUAUUGAUCCAGCCAAUCCACUUGCUACCAAAUCCCAUGUCCUUUAGUUUUUUUAGAAGGAAAUUCCAAUUAACAUGUUCAUAGGUUUUCUCAAUGUCUAGCUUGCAUAGAAUCCUAGGUUUUUUCUGCCUUACCUUGGAGUUGACCAUUUCAUUAGCCAACAAUGCUGCAUCCAUUAUUUGCCUACAUCUUAAAAAAGACAUUUGGUGUUCAUCAACCAAUUUCACUAUCACUGUCUUCAUUCUCUCAGAUAGCAACUUGGAGUUGAUUUUAUUGACUACUCCUAUCAAACUGAUAGGUCUAAAGUCUUUUAGCUCAAUUGCAUCAGGUUUCUUUGGGAUUGAAGGGAUCAAUAUAGCAUUAAAUGAUUUCUCAAACGCACUCCUUUGAUGGAAAUUUUUUGUGCUCAACAUUCAGUUCUCUUUCAAAAUAUCCCAACAUUUCUUAAAGAAAUCCAUAGUGAAGUCAUCAGGGUCUGGUGCUUUGUCCCCGUCAUACUGGUUGAUGAUCAAUAACACUUCCUCUUCUGUAAAUGGUCUUUGUAACCAUUCAUUUUCUUCUAUAGACUGUUGGACAUCCUACAAAAUGAAAAGAGGGUCUCUAGGAUUCAAGUUCCGAGUAGAGUCUGGCAUUUAAUUCAUAUGACAUGGCUAUAAAAUAGGUUGCUUUAGUGGUUCCAAAUCCCACAAUGUUAUGUGUUGAGCCAUCAACUACCAUUACUUGAGAGGGUUCUUUGUGUGAUCGAAAGGUAGAAAAUAUAUUAGGAUUACGUGUCAUGUAAUUACUAGUACCUGUAUCAAUCACCCAGUUGUUCAAAGAGGAGAUCGCAUAUGCUUUUCUUGAAUCAACAAGGGUAGUAACUGAAGUGAAUUCUUUAAGGGAUUCUUGAUACUAAGAGGACUCGCAAACUCAUUCGCCGAAACCAAAAUUGUCUUACCCUAAUAAUUUAUAUUUAUUUGAGUUAUAGUUUCAACUCAAAAUAUUAAUAUAGGAGAAGCUAACAAACACAAACAAUACCAACAUAUACAAUCCAGUACUGAAAAGGCAAUUUGUUAAUAUCAAGACAUGCAAAAUUUUAUGGCAAAAUUUUAUGGGAUUAAGUCCAUAUAAAAUUUGAACGAAUUUAUAAAUUCAAGACAUAUUGACCUAAGUGAACAUUUUGGGUUAAUACAGCCAAAUUAAUUAUUUAAGUCAAGAUUGCAUGACUUAAGUCAAACCCAACUACAUUGGGCUAGGUUGGGCUUCUACAAAAUGGUCCACCCACAUGUUUUAAGACCAAGGGUCCAUUAGGAUUACUUGGAGACUACCGUAAAACCUUUCAUUCAUGCCUAUAUAAAAUAAAAAGGCUACAUAUUCUCUUUGGAGGCAUCUUGAAAAUUCUAUAACAUCUUGGCAGAUUCUAAGAUGGGAUUGGACAAAGACAAGAGAGUGCUCAACUGGAACAACGGCCAACAAAGACCAAUUACUUAGAUAACGAUUCUUCCCCUUCUCCUUUAAGGCUUUAAGGCGAACUGUAUGGAUGUAGGAAAGAAAGACGUCCUCACCUUCUCUAGUGUUAGUGAGAGCAAUUUGAGUAUCCUUCAUGCACCUCCUUUCGUAGAUAGAAUCUUAAUGAGUGGAAACAAGCAACCUUACUAAGAAAGGUGCUUUUUGAGUAAGGCCCACUUUCAAGCCAACCCUUGGUAUAGGUUGGGAACUUGAGCGCAUGAUUGGUCCAUUGAAGAUUGUACAAGCCCAACGCAGGCAUGCAUACACUUAUAUCAUGAUCAUGUCAAUGCCAUCAACAAGCCAAAUAUCAUUUAUUUGUUCUAUUAAGUACUUCUUUCACGUCAUUAGCUUUAAAAAAUUGUCUCCCUUUACUGGUUCACCUCGAUGAAAAACUUAAGAAUUGCCUAGCUUCAGAAGGUCAUCAAUAAUAUUUGAUUCCAAGAAAUUAGCAACCAAUUCACCCAAAAAAAUAAUUGUAGUCGAUAGUCAAAUACCAGAUUUAUUUGACAUCAAGAACAAGCAUCCACAAAAAACUAUUAAUUCAAUAUUGAGCAAAACUCCGCAAAUCACGACAACACCAAACUGAAACAAGAUCUAAAUCUCUGAAGGAGAGACUAGCAUACUAGAACAUUAAUUGUCCCGAACAACAUGUUUUCGCCCUAGUCUAUUUCCAUUAUUAUGUAUUGCCAGCUUGGAAAGGGAUCUUCACGUGAUAUUCAAUUAGAGGAAAUACGUGUAAGCACCGUUUGUCUUAGCAACAAGUUACUCAAAAAUAUCUCUAGAACUAAAGUUUUUAUGAAGACCAAAUACACCUAUGAGAUAUAUGAAGAUGUACUCUAUCCACCUAAAAAUAUAAUAAGAUAUGAGAUGUUUAGAAGCACACCAACGUGGUGAUUGAGAAAUAAGAAAUUUUGAAAUUCCAUUUUAGUAAAAAUGUAAGUAGUGCAAUCAAAUACAAGAAAUGAUAUAAACAUCAAUUCAGAUUAUUAAUGUCGUCUUCAAGAACUGUACUGGACACUGACCUGUGUUCCUGUUCUGUCCAAGAAGCCCCUUUUCGCCAUUCUACAUCUACAAAAAAUGAUAUAAACAUCAAUUCAAAGUAUUAACUCUGGUUUUGCAUUUCAGGAUAAUUAGAUAAUGUACAUAUCCAGACUCGAUGAUAUUGGUAUCUUCAAUUAAUACAUUACAAUGAUCCUUAAUAACAUCCGUCAAUUUCCCAAGAAGUGCUUUUGCCACUUCCUCCAAUAGAUUGUUGUUAUCCUUGUUGAUCGCAAAAGUAUUCUCAAAGAUUUUAUUCUCCUCCUUAGUCCAGAAGGAGUUAUUGCAUGUUCGAUCAGUGUUCAUUUUCUUUUAGAUCUACAAGGUUAGCUCAAACAUGAAAAAGGUAAGCUCUUCAAGAGGAUUCAAAAAACGGAUAAGUGUCAAUAUAUAACCAAAAUUUAUCAUAACUAUCGGGCAUCUAAAAUAAGAUUUUUUGUAACCCCUGACACUUAGAAAUCAGAAACAAUCUCAACAACACACAAUCUUCUAAAUCAGUUAUGGAUACUAAGAGAGACUAUUUCUGACACACACUUGGCUCAAGUUACUUUUCUUAGUAUCCAUAACUGAUUUAAAAGAAUGUGUGUUGCCGCGAUUGUUUUUGAUUACUAAGUGAUAGAGGUUACAAAAAAUCUUAUUUUAGAUGCCCGAUAUUUAUGGUAGUUUUUGGUUAUAUAUUGACACUCCUCCGUUUUCUUAAUCCUCUUGAAGAGCUUUAUCUUUUUCAUGUUAAAGCUUUCGUUGUUGAUCUAAAAGAAAAUGAACACCGAUCGGACAUGCAAUAACUCCUUCUAGACUAAGGAGGAGGAUAAAAUCUUUGAGAAUACUCUUGCGAUCAACGAAGAUAACAACAAUCUAUUGGAGGAAAUGGCAAAAGCACUUCUUGGGAAAUUGACGGAUGAUAUUAAGGAUCACUAUAAUAUCUUAAUUGAAGAUACCAAUGCCAUCGAGUCUGGAUAUGUCCCAUUACCUAAUUAUUCUGAAAUGCAAAACCAGAAUUCAAAAGCAUAUGUAGAAUGGUGAAAUGGGGCUUCUUGGACCAAAUAGGAACACAUGUCAGUUUGCAGUACAGUUCUUGAGGACGACAUUAAUAAUCUGAAUUGAUGUUCAUAUCAUUUCUUGUAUUUGAUUAGACGUCUUACAUUUUUACUAAAACGGAAUUUCAAAAUUUCUUAUUUUUCAAUGACCACGUUGGUGUGCUUCUAAACAUCUCAUAUAUUAUUAUAUUUCUAGGUGGAUAAAGUACAUCUUCAUAUAUUUCAUAGGUGUAUUUGGUCUUAACUGCAUCACCAAUAUAAUACAAAGUAUUAAUUCCAACUUCUGAGUUCCACAAUAUUUUCAGAUUAAAUAUGUAGGUUUUUACUUUUUAAAAUUGUCAAUGGUUAGGCUUGCUUUCAUGAGAAGUGGAUGAGUAUUUGUAAGAUAAUAAUUUUGAAGUGGAUGAGUAUUUGUAAGACCAAACCAUUGUCUCACAGGCUCCAUCUUUGAGUUUAACCCAUCUCCCAAAUUAAUCUUCCCUACUCCUCACCGACCAACAAUGCACUUUCACAGAGCCAAAACCCAGAACAAUUCGCUUUCGUUUAACCCCAUCUCGCCCGCCAACUGUUCGAUACAAUUCCUCAACCAACAAUUGUCCUUUUGGAACACAAUUAUCAUUGGGUUUAUCUGUAAUAACAUGCCCCAUGAAGCAAUUUCAUUCUAUUUCGAUUGAAACAUGUGGGUUCAUCCGUAUGUGAUCAGUAUACUUAUUCCUCUGUUAUCAAGGCUUGCGCGGAGACCAAACGGAUUCUUGUAGGUAAUGCUGUGCAUUGCCACAUUCUGAGUUCUGGGAUUCGUCCUAGUAGGAUUGUUAGUAAUUCUUUGUUGAAUAUGUACUCUGCUACUUGUCUUACAUUGGAUAAUGGUUCUGAUUGUGAUUUUGUUGAAAGGGUGUUUAGAACUAUGCGUAAAAGAAUGUUGUUGGGUGGAAUACUAUUUUUUCUUGGUAUAUGAAAAGGAAGAGGUUUUCGGAAGCAGUGAGGUGCUUUGUUAUGAUGAUGAGAUUAGGCAUUAAGCCAACUGUUGUUAAUUUUACUAAUGUUUUUCCUGCUGUAUCAGAAACAGGGGAUGUUAGAGUUACUGAUUUUCUUAAUGGAUUGCUUGUGAAAUUGGGUAAUGCAUAUGUAAAUGACCUGUUUGUUGUUAGUGCUGCUAUUGUUAUGUAAGCUGAGCUUGGCUGUGUUGAUUUGGCGACCAGAAUAUUUGAGAAUACUUGUGAAACAAAUACAGAGAUCUGGAACUCAUGAUUAGCGGGUACAUUCAGAACAAUUUUCCUUUUAAAGCAGUUGAUCUCUUUCUUGAAGCUGUAGAAGCAGAGGAUGCUGUUACUACUGAUGAUGUGACAUUUGUAUCUGCUCUUAUGGCAACUUCACAGUUGCAGCAUUUUGAGUUUGCCCAACAGCUACAUGCAUGUCUGAUAAUGAAAUGCAGGGAUUCACAGGUUAUUUCGUUUAAUGCUAUGAUAGCCACAUAUUCUAGGUGUAACCAUAUUGGCAAUUCACUUUAAGUUUUUAAUGGAAUGAAGGAAAGAUAUAUUGUGUCAUGGAACACCGUGGUGUCUGCUUGGUACAGAACGAACUGGAUAACGAGGCUUUGAUGCUUGUAUAUGAGAUGAAAAAGCUAUGGGGUUGCAAUUGAUGAUAUAACAAUUACCAUCCUGCUUUCUGCGGCAUCAAAUCUUAGGGACAGGGAAAUUGGUAAACAGACCCAUGCUUAUCUUCUGAGGCACAAUUUUCAAUUUGAAGGGAUGGAGAGUUACCUGAUAGUCAUGUAUGCCAAAUCUAAUAUGAUUAGAGAAGAACGAGCAAUAUUCCAGUUGAACUUCACAUAUGAUAAAGAUCAAGCCAC